Armigeres subalbatus is the source of this 819-nucleotide long non-coding RNA. RefSeq lists it as uncharacterized. NCBI's taxonomy places the organism in Eukaryota, Metazoa, Arthropoda, Insecta, Diptera, Culicidae. The record is from RefSeq and is a predicted model, not a curated record. The transcript is spliced from 3 exons.
CAGCGACGUAAGUUCUUGAAACGUACCUAAUAAUUCGAUGUAAUUGAUGAUUAACCGCAUUAUCACACCAUAUCAACGCAUUAUUACAUCAAUCGCCAUGAGAUUCGAUCGAGAAAAAUCAUGACCAAGCUACGUAAAUAAAACAUAAAAUUAACCACAUUCUCCGAUAAUAAUACACUCAAAAUUCUGCACGUUCACAAUAAAAUAUAAUAUUACCGAAAUCGACGUAAUAUUGCUUUAAAAAGUAUGGAACGAGCACGCCGCAGUAAUAGCAGCAACUGACAGUCGGCCAUGUUUUGAUUUUCUGUUUGCACCGAACGACGGGUGGCGGUCAAACAUUUUCAAUUUAAUUAGUGAAUUAUUAGUGCUCAUUGCUGCUGACAUACCGUAGCUUGGGCUUCAUAAAGGUGCCCAUUCAUUAAUCCUCAUCGGACAGAGAAAAACAGACCUGCAGAUAGAAUAAACAAGUGCGUCAACUCGCGAGCUUCCUUCAAGUGCUCAUCAAAAUACGUUCCAUCAGUUGGAAAUGAAUUAUUUAUUUACACAGAAUCGGGAGCACACUGGACCAGCAAGGCAAAGUAGUUGAAUCAUCACAGGACAUCAAGAACAUUCUUUUCGAGGAAUCGAGCGGUUUCACCGGUAAGAUCGUACGGGAAUGUUUCGCUGGCAUUAGGUAUACCCAAACGAAAACCAGAUAAUCCGUCGCGCGAAUGCAGCAAUAUUCCAUCCAUAAAUAACGUAACGCUUAGAGGGGAAGGGUGGUUGCCCAAAGUGUGACAAUCCAUACAAAAUUUUAAGAUGCUUCAUACAAAAAGUUUG